GGCAGGUAUUUACAAAGGGAAGUGUUAUAGAUUAAGCUUGACGUCAUGUGAUGAUGAUGUCAUCAGAUGAUUGUCACAUGACAUUACAGGUGCACUGUUCAAAGCACUAUAUCCCAUGAAGUACAUGUCCGAUUGGGUUGAAACCUUGCAGCAUGUGAACAAGUAAGACUCCUUUUUAAGUUUAUUAACCUGGGUGUCUUUGACAGUUUGUUUGAAAACUUCAAAUGUGAAAAAGCCCUGUUAGGCCGUCAGCUGAACCCCUAAAUUCUUUUGUUUCGUUCCAGUAACUGCAGGAAUAAAUUUUCUGAGCAGAAUUGAGCACAUAAAUUACCAGAGAUGACAAAUGCAAAAGUCCUCGAGAAGUUAUCCUGCAGUUUUCUAAUAAUCUGGGUGGAAAGAGCAAACUAUUUUGCCUCGGGGAAGCUCUAUGCCUGAAAUUUGCCACGUUUAAAAGUUGUUCAGGAAUGAUGUAAUUAGACCACAUGAUACAAAUUGUUCAAUCCGAGACUCGAAUGCAGGUCGUAGGUCGUGGGUCAUGACACAAAGCAGUAAAUAUGGCGACGUCUGGCAAUGCGGAUGGCAUGUGCCUCAACGUCAACAUCGACAAAUUUCAGGUGUUUAAUGCAUGUAGAAUCGGUCAAAUUUGAAGGUAAAAGCCCUUACAAAUGUCCAAUGGAGAAAGUUCACUUCAUGUGCCAAAGAGUGGCUUGAUUUAUGCAGCAGAGAUUGCGAAAUCACUGAACAAACAGAGCGCAAGGGACUACGCGUGAUCUGCACAGACUGUGCCUAUGGCAAAGCAUAUGAAUUACAUAGUUUUUUAAACACCCGAAUGCUGCUAGAAAACAGAAGUUACACGAUGAUUCUCCCUCUGAAGCUUCAUCUUCUUCCCGUAAGAAACUCUGGGCUAGAUCAAGAUUUUCUUCUGGAAGAUGACAUAUCUUGUGUGUUGCCUGUAUGUUAACUUGAAUGCGUCAUGGAGUAAAGUUGAGCUGUUCGUCACUUGACGUGGGAAACGUGUCACAGAUAAGCUGUUGCAGGCAGAAAUUUCUGAUGGAGGUAAGCUGCAUUACAAUGACAUCGCAGUCAGGGAAGGGCGUAUUGAUUCGAAAUUUAAUAGUAAUUUAGGUCUAUCAUGUCUAUGUUGGUAUUUUAGUUUUAGCCCAUCAUGCCCACCAUUGAAGCUGUUUCUAGUAACUUGGACUCAACGAAUGGCUCAAAAAUGUCUGGAAACAAAUAGAAUUUAACAAGAUAGUUAUAAGAUUAAGAGCACAAGCAAGAUGGUUUAAAUUGUAUUUCCUUUUAUGUUUCUUUUCCAGGAAUGUUUUGUCAAGCAGCAGAGAGCAAAAGAGACGAAAAUGUUUUGAUACACAUUUGGGACAAAGAUUGUGUUGCUCUGGAGGUUCGAUGUCGCACCUCUUGUUACAAAUCAUACACUCAGAUCCUGACAAGGAAAAGCAAGGAUCCUGAAGGUGACAAGUUGAAAUAUUGGCUCAAAAGAUAUUAUCCUGAGCUCUGUUCUCACAAAACUUUCUCAAGAAACAAGUGUGAGAUUGUCAACUCAUCCACAUUGUCAUCAAGAAGUGUAACCGAAUCUCUGGACACUCUGGAGGAUGAUUUAUCAACCGACAUGAUUGAUCUGGAAACUGGCACAGAUGCUCCCACCUCUUCAUACACUGUUACAGGACAGAAUGACUCUGUGCUUGAUGAUUUUUGAUGGAUAGUAAUGAGAAGAUGCUCCAAGGUUCCAAUUCGUAGCCCUCUUCAGUAUUGUCUUUUCAAGAAAUUACAAAGCAUUUAGAUUUUGUAGCUGACCUGUUCAUUAGAGUUGUUUCUUUUACCUUAGCAUUAUGGCAUUUUAUUUGCAUGUAAACAAAUAGCAUGACAUGUACGUCUAAAUUAAAUGCGCUCUUUUGAUAAUCAAUUUAACUAACCAGUGAGAUUAACUUUUUGGGGACAUUUUUCUAAAUGCCUUGUUUCAUAAUCAUAUGGCCCAGGUUCAGAUGAUCACAUCAAAAUUUAAAUUACAGUCAUUUGAUUUGGAAUUGGAAGCCAUUUUUAGCACAAAAUGACUGGUUCGGGGGGCCUUGGAAACAUAAACACGUUAUGAGUACAUUGAGUGAAGUUCUGUAAAUGUAUUUCCCCUGCUGUCAGCAAUUUAGUACAUUUUCAUCUCCAUUUUGGAUAUAAUUACAAUAUUGAAGGUUUGACAUAAUCACAGUUCUCUAAUUUUGAAGUUGGAAGUGCCCACACACAGCCUUAGAAGCGGAUAUUGUCCAUUUUUGGCAUACAGGAGUAUGGCAAACUUUGAGAUAGAAUUACUGAAAAACCGCAGGAUUUUUUUGGGGGAAAACUUUUGACGUAAUGUUUGGGAUGUACAGAACCUCACAUUUAUGCAUUCAAAAAGUAUCCCAGUAUUGCUGGAACAAAACUCAUUUUUGCAGCCAGUUUCUUAGUCGGCCUAAGUGUUCUGUCCACAAGACAAAUGCACAGAGGUCUAGUUUCUUCUUCUUCUCCAUGUGCUUCUGCCAAACCCUGUUCACUUUGUACAGGGUUUUUCUGUACUGCACUUUAGUCCCUUUGCAAGUUCGUGACUUCAUCAAAGUUGCAGCAAGUAGAGACCCUGUAGCAAAGAUGUACUGUGAAGCGUGACGUCAUGAUGACGUCAUCAGCUGAUUUUUUAUAGAAUUUUGAAUAUUUCAUUUCCCUGAAGGUUUUAAACACAUUUUUCAACUGCCAGAAUGGCAUGGACUUCGGCUACUCCACCAAAUGAAAUUUGGUCUAAGCAAAGACCAAUACAGCAUAGAUAGUCCUAGAAGCAUUAAGUCACUUUGACAGCAUGAAAUGAUUUAUUAUUUAAUUUUGAAGAUAUCAUUUGUCCCUUUGACUUUGUACACAUUUUCAAACCUGUUGACUUUAUAUAUACACAGUUUAUGCUUACAUGCAGUAUAUCCAUGCGCGAUCCGCGGUCCUGUGCGAUUGGUCAACCUUAGCGUGGUUGCUCAGUACAGUCUUAUUACAUGAUUUCUAGAUAAUGUCGCUAGAAGGUUGUGACAAAUCGUGUUAAGUAUUUAGGGAAAUGAACUCCGUGAUUUUAUGUUGGGUCAACCAGUUGUUCAAAGCAGUACUUGACACAAAUUGUCCACUGCAUACAGCAUAUCAACCAUAUUUUUGCAGUCCUGUCAACACAUGGAUAGUUUCGAUGGGCCCAUGUGUUUUGUUGAGACCUUCUUGGGACAUCCCAUUCCUGAAAUGGCACAAAUUGAAUUCUUUUUGGACUUUUCUUGAUCAGAGGAUUCCAAGGUAGGCUUAAUCCCACAAAAGCUGAACUAAAACCAAAUUUAUGGACCGGAGUUGGAAAUUGCGGCCAAGGAGUUGACACCGAAUACGGGAUAGGCAUGAUCCCAAUUAUCGUGAGCAUGAGUGUACCAAACAAGCAGACUGUAGUGUGGCAAGCAACUGGGUUUGGAAGCUGGAUGAACUGCAGGAACUGGUAGGCAAUUAACAUUAUCAGUUGAAAGUUUUGUCUGCCCUUUCUGUAUUCUGUAGCUCUGGAUAGUAAUGUUAGGGGAAACAGAACUGACUCACACUAGCUCUGAAUUUGCAUUGACAUAUUCUGAGUAAUUUGAACUCUACAAAUGUCCUUUUUCAAUGUUUCGACAUGGUUGCUCAGACCAUGUCCAGCGACCAUGUCCAAAUGAUAAAAAAGAUAAUUUUUUGAGUUCAAGUUGCUCAGACUAGCAUUGACAAUGGUCAAGUACGUCCUAGUUUUUCAGCACAAUCAAGAGAUCAACUUGCACGUACAUUCAUUAUACCUGUUCCUGAGUUCAUUAUUCAAUAAUUUUAGUAUGAUAGAUUUUAUUCAAAGGCAAAUCAAAUCAGGAUGGCCUAUGGAGUACAACAAAUUUGCACAGGUUUUACGAUUGCGCUGCAAAAUGAAGUCCCUGAAACACUCACCUUGCAUACUGUAUUUCUUAUGUAUGCCCCCCAGGCAGACACCAUGUCAUUACAGGCCUACGGUAAACAUCCAAAAAUGUAUGAAAUUUGAAUGUAGACCUGUGGUUAUUUAAUAUUGAUGUAAGCUGAUUAUUCUGAAUAUUUUGAUUUCCUUAUUUGCAUCUUGUGUAUAGGUAUCCUUUGUGUUACUGCCUAAGUGAAAGCUAGAGAUACAUAUAAAUGUGUUCUCCAUGUUAGUUCCAAUGAUUGGAAUUCAACAUACCUGCAGUUACAAGUAGAUAUCAGAAGCACUGCUCCCCAAGAUAAAUUAAGCUGCUGUACAACCAAGCAAGGAAGUUAACAGAUGUUCAUCAGCACAGACACGAAGGCAGUCUUCAUACAUGUUGGAUGUCCCCAUUGUCAUUAAUGGAAAUGGAGUUUGAAGCAGGACUGAUCCACAGAAUGUUGAGAACAGCUUCAUCAAAGUACUCGUUACAAGAUCUUUAACUGCAACCAGCAGGAAAUUACGCAGAAGACUAUUCACCAGCACAUGAAGGAAGUCUUUAGACAUGUUGGUGUCCGAGGUGUCAUCGAUGGAACUGCAAUUCAUACUGAGAAUGUUCUACAGAAGGACUUCAUCAAAAUACCAAGUUUAUCUGAAAAAACUGCAACCAAUAGGACAUAAAUUGUACAUGUAUAUGUGUGUAUGUCCCUGACAUUUCUUUUCAAGAUUACUGCAGAAAUUAUGAAUACAUACGUUGGAAGCAUUAUGCAAAGUUUUCAGCAUUCACAAGAUCCUGAUAUUUUCAAUGUGUUUCUAUGUUCUUCUUAAGUAUGUCUGGAAAUCUUUAUGGCAAAAAAACCUUAACUGGUUUUAUAUAAAUUACAAUAGUAAAAUGCCCUAAAGCACAAACGCAAUUUUUCUUUAAUAUUUUGUAAGAAGUAUGAAGUACUUGUAUGAAGUACGAGUCCGAUUCAGUUGAAACUUGGCACAUGGCUAGAAAUAGAUGUGCUUCAGAUGAAAAUUGACAUCAUAAGAUGAUUUCUUCUUCGUGUGACAGGUCAAGUGACAAUCCACGUGACAUUAAAUGUUUGCAAUAUAUCAUCUACAUGUAUGUGUUCUUGUCAUUAAUCUUGUAAGGCGUUCAUCACUGGUUUCAAAUGAAAGCAGCUGUGUUUGUCCACAAACACAUUUCUAGUUUAAUUGUAAUUUCUUUAAGUAAUUUCUUUCAUUUUCAAGUCUUUGUUUUUUUGUGAUAUUUCUGUAAUAAAUUCUUUGUUGUCCGUUUUUUUUUUAAAUUUAGAAGUUUGUGUCUUUUGUUUCUAUUCAGUUGCUUGCAGCAUUUUCCUUCAAUGAUCCUUGGUUAGUUACAUUUAGUUUUUUUUAGUAGUGUGAGUUCCUACAGAACGUGUCAUUUUCUAGGUCCUCAAAGAUAUCCUGAGUGACUUGAUUCAGAGUUCAGAGGUUUGCAAAAUUUGUUCAUUGAUUUUGUUUUAUCACUUUUCAG
Molecule: long non-coding RNA, 5441 nt
Organism: Acanthaster planci (crown-of-thorns starfish)
Lineage: Eukaryota; Metazoa; Echinodermata; Asteroidea; Valvatida; Acanthasteridae
Source: RefSeq, a predicted model, not a curated record